This 120-nucleotide ribosomal RNA is filed under the name Pseudolycoriella hygida. Lineage: Eukaryota; Metazoa; Arthropoda; Insecta; Diptera; Sciaridae. The record is from RNAcentral.
GGCAACGGCCAUACCAUGAUGAAUACACCAGUUCUCGUCCGAUCACUGAAGUUAAGCAUCAUUGGGCGCGGUUAGUACUUAGAUGGGGUACCGCUUGGGAAUACCGCGUGUCGUUGGCAU